This 497-nucleotide ribosomal RNA is filed under the name uncultured bacterium. RNAcentral describes it as "partial 16S ribosomal RNA". It matches the Rfam family "Bacterial small subunit ribosomal RNA", at positions 28 to 507 of the family's 1533-position model. The record is from RNAcentral.
GAUGAACGCUGGCGGCGUGCCUAAUACAUGCAAGUCGAGCGCACAGAUGAGGUACUUGCACCUCUGACAUUAGCGGCGAACGGGUGAGUAACACGUGGGUAAUCUACCUUUAAGCCUGGGAUAACUUCGGGAAACCGAUGCUAAUACCGCAUAAUAUCUUUAACCACAUGUUUCAAUAGUGAAAGACGGAUUUGCAGUAACUUAUAGAUGUAUCCGCGUGGCUUUGGCUAUUUGGUAAGGUAACGCUUGCCAAAGGCAACGUAGCUAAGCGGACCUGGAGGGGGGACCGCCAAAACUGGAACUGAGCCACGCCCCAGAUCCCUACGGGAGGCACCAGAAGGGAAUCUUCGGCAAUGGGCGAAAGCUUGACGGAGCAACGCCGCGGGAGGGAGGAGGGUUUUCGGUUCGUAAAACUCUGUUAUUAGGGAAGAACAAAUGUGUAAGUAACUAUGCACGUCUUGACGGUACCUAAUCAGAAAGCCACGGCUAACUACGUG